RNAcentral lists this ribosomal RNA (460 nucleotides) under uncultured bacterium. Its description in RNAcentral is "partial 16S ribosomal RNA". It matches the Rfam family "Bacterial small subunit ribosomal RNA", at positions 338 to 795 of the family's 1533-position model. The record is from RNAcentral.
CCUACGGGAGGCAGCAGUGAGGAAUAUUGGUCAAUGGACGAGAGUCUGAACCAGCCAAGUAGCAUGAAGGAUGACUGCCCUAUGGGUUGUAAACUUCUUUUAUAAAGGAAUAAAACGAGGCACGUGUGCCUUUUUGCAUGUACUUUAUGAAUAAGGAUCGGCUAACUCCGUGCCAGCAGCCGCGGUAAUACGGAGGAUCCGAGCGUUAUCCGGAUUUAUUGGGUUUAAAGGGAGCGUAGAUGGGUUGUUAAGUCAGAUGUGAAAGUUUGCGGCUCAACCGUAAAAUUGCAAUUGAUACUGGCAGUCUUGAGUACAGUUGAGGUAGGCGGAAUUCGUGGUGUAGCGGUGAAAUGCGUAGAUAUCACGAAGAACCCCGAUUGCGAAGGCAGCUUACUAAACUGUGACUGACAUUGAUGCUCGAAAGUGUGGGUAGCAAACAGGAGUAGAUACCCCAGUAGUC